AGAGUUUGAUCAUGGCUCAGAUUGAACGCUGGCGGCAGGCCUAACACAUGCAAGUCGAACGGUAACAGGAAGCAGCUUGCUGCUUCGCUGACGAGUGGCGGACGGGUGAGUAAUGUCUGGGAAACUGCCUGAUGGAGGGGGAUAACUACUGGAAACGGUGGCUAAUACCGCAUAACGUCGCAAGACCAAAGAGGGGGACCUUCGGGCCUCUUGCCAUCAGAUGUGCCCAGAUGGGAUUAGCUAGUUGGUGAGGUAACGGCUCACCAAGGCGACGAUCCCUAGCUGGUCUGAGAGGAUGACCAGCCACACUGGAACUGAGACACGGUCCAGACUCCUACGGGAGGCAGCAGUGGGGAAUAUUGCACAAUGGGCGCAAGCCUGAUGCAGCCAUGCCGCGUGUAUGAAGAAGGCCUUCGGGUUGUAAAGUACUUUCAGCGGGGAGGAAGGUGUUGUGGUUAAUAACCACAGCAAUUGACGUUACCCGCAGAAGAAGCACCGGCUAACUCCGUGCCAGCAGCCGCGGUAAUACGGAGGGUGCAAGCGUUAAUCGGAAUUACUGGGCGUAAAGCGCACGCAGGCGGUCUGUCAAGUCGGAUGUGAAAUCCCCGGGCUCAACCUGGGAACUGCAUUCGAAACUGGCAGGCUUGAGUCUUGUAGAGGGGGGUAGAAUUCCAGGUGUAGCGGUGAAAUGCGUAGAGAUCUGGAGGAAUACCGGUGGCGAAGGCGGCCCCCUGGACAAAGACUGACGCUCAGGUGCGAAAGCGUGGGGAGCAAACAGGAUUAGAUACCCUGGUAGUCCACGCCGUAAACGAUGUCUACUUGGAGGUUGUGCCCUUGAGGCGUGGCUUCCGGAGCUAACGCGUUAAGUAGACCGCCUGGGGAGUACGGCCGCAAGGUUAAAACUCAAAUGAAUUGACGGGGGCCCGCACAAGCGGUGGAGCAUGUGGUUUAAUUCGAUGCAACGCGAAGAACCUUACCUGGUCUUGACAUCCACAGAACUUUCCAGAGAUGGAUUGGUGCCUUCGGGAACUGUGAGACAGGUGCUGCAUGGCUGUCGUCAGCUCGUGUUGUGAAAUGUUGGGUUAAGUCCCGCAACGAGCGCAACCCUUAUCCUUUGUUGCCAGCGGUUAGGCCGGGAACUCAAAGGAGACUGCCAGUGAUAAACUGGAGGAAGGUGGGGAUGACGUCAAGUCAUCAUGGCCCUUACGACCAGGGCUACACACGUGCUACAAUGGCGCAUACAAAGAGAAGCGACCUCGCGAGAGCAAGCGGACCUCAUAAAGUGCGUCGUAGUCCGGAUUGGAGUCUGCAACUCGACUCCAUGAAGUCGGAAUCGCUAGUAAUCGUGGAUCAGAAUGCCACGGUGAAUACGUUCCCGGGCCUUGUACACACCGCCCGUCACACCAUGGGAGUGGGUUGCAAAAGAAGUAGGUAGCUUAACCUUCGGGAGGGCGCUUACCACUUUGUGAUUCAUGACUGGGGUGAAGUCGUAACAAGGUAACCGUAGGGGAACCUGCGGUUG
Molecule: ribosomal RNA, 1522 nt
Filed under: Salmonella enterica
Lineage: Bacteria; Pseudomonadati; Pseudomonadota; Gammaproteobacteria; Enterobacterales; Enterobacteriaceae
Also listed under: 2 other names
Description: bacterial SSU rRNA
Rfam family: Bacterial small subunit ribosomal RNA
Source: RNAcentral